Leptinotarsa decemlineata (Colorado potato beetle) is the source of this 526-nucleotide long non-coding RNA. NCBI's taxonomy places the organism in Eukaryota, Metazoa, Arthropoda, Insecta, Coleoptera, Chrysomelidae. The record is from RefSeq and is a predicted model, not a curated record.
AAACCCGAAUUUCAAACUGGGGGUAUUAAAAUGUCGAAAGUCAUCAAUAUUAGACAGUUGGUUGUGAAAUCUUCAAAGCACACAAGCACCUAGAUUCCUCAGAAGACAGAAUGACGUGUUUCGUUUUAGCAGUUUUUUGCCUGGUCGUUGUUUUUGUAAUGCCUUUUGGAAACACUGGAACCGUUGACAAACAACAGUUAGUUCAAAUUCAGCCAAAGGAAAAAAUAAAUGUUCGAACCGACGUACUAAGACCUGGUCAUAAUAGUGGUGGACAAAUCUUCCGGUACAAGCGAUCUGGCAUUCCACCACUAACUAACAAACAAGGUUCAGGCCCAAAUUUCGCCAUUAUAGGUGACAACUCCCAAAUCGGCCACACCGGAAAACACGGCAAGCAUAAGCAACACGACAGGCGACACUAGGAAAUUCGAGAAUCGUAGAUUUUAGGGGCCUAGUACUUUUUGAAGAACAUUAUCAAAUUGUGAACAUAUUAUAUAUGAAAGCAUAAAAGCAUCAUACCACUCCAAAA